CUUCUUGGCAAGCCUUGCUCCUGAAACUGUCAUGGUCAUGAAUGAACCAUUUUACGUUUGCUUUGAUGACGAAGUCGAAAAAGUGUGAAUGUAAUUAAGAAGAUACCACCGUACAUAAAAUAACAGAAGACAAGUGUUUAAAAAUUAUUUAAUUGUAACAGUAAGAUAAAAAAUGAAUUUUACUCCGUUUGGCGUGCCUUUAACGGCUGCGCUGCCUGUGGCUACUCAAUUUACCGCCGGAAAGAUAACUCAAAACGUCACUACUCCUAACGGACAAGUAGUCGGUGUCUUGCAGGGUGGUGAAAACGGUGUACACUACAUACGUCCAUUAGAUACCAAUGCCUUUGCUACUGCAGCCUCUCAACAAAAUCAGGGAACACAAAUCAUAACGCUGCCUAUAACAAUGCCAGGUGCUAAACCUGGAGACCCCCAACAAACUGUGCAGAUACAAGUAGUGAAUCCUCAACCGACGCCCGUAUCCCAAGCAAGUCCUGCCAGUUCACCUAAGUAUCAGAUUUCUCAAAUACCAAUGUUCAGCCAAGGUGCUACUGUACUCACUGUUGCCUACAAUUCCAACCAGGAAGGAAUCCAGAUUUUGGAUGGCCAGAACGGUGUACCAGAAGGAAUGACGGUAGUAGCAGCGCUCCAACCUCAGGACAUACAAUUAAUUCAAACUCAUGCAACCGAGUUGGAGAAAAACGAUAAGGAGCUACAACCUCCAGUUGCGUUGAUCAAAAGCGAGCUUAAAGAUACCGACGAAACGGCAGCUUCUAUUUCAGUUCCCACCCAAUAUUUACAAACGACCAAUCUGCACGAGUACAUUCAAAAAAUGCAAAAUACAACGUUACCUCUCAGUCUACAACAGUUCUUAAAGUUCAACACUACAGAUAUUAAGAGGGAAAUAAUCUCGGAAGAUGGAUUGAUUGAAGCAGUUAGCAUCGCUGCUCCUGACGGUAAUGGCCAUCUGAUCAUGCAAGAUGUAGGAGAGAUGGAGACUGAGGAGAAUCCAGAUGAUUCCAACGAUAAAGGGAAAAAGAAAAAAAAAUAUAAAAAGAAACCACCGAAGCCAAAAAAGCCUAAACCAGGUCAAGUACACAUUGCUACAGCUCUCGAUGGCACCACUCUCUUCUGUUGUCCGGAAUGUCACAUGGCGUAUCCACAAAAAGAGCUCCUUGAACAACACUUGGUGGGUCAUAAAAUCGAGCGACGUUUCAUCUGUGACAUUUGUGGAGCUGGUUUGAAACGCAAGGAACACUUGGAACGUCACAAGUUGGGUCACAAUCCCGAACGACCUUUCGUAUGUUCAGUCUGUAUGAAGGGGUUCAAGAGGAAAGAACAUCUCAACUUGCAUUUUGUAAUUCAUUCGGGAGAGAAGACGGAAAUAUGUGGAGAAUGUGGCAAAGGAUUCUACAGAAAGGAUCACUUGAGGAAACAUGCUAGGUCUCACAUCACUAGAAGAAUAAAAGAACAAGCAGAACAAGCAGAGAGAACGCAGGGGUUACUCAAAGAUCCAAUUACGUCAAGUACAAGUACUGCCCAAGUUACCAUUAGUGUUGGUGGAGAACUAUGAGUUCUGCUUCACAGCGAUCCAUACUAUUGCUAGACCUACCAGUAGGUAGAAGAAGUAUAGAUUCCAACAUCCCUUCAACGUCAAAGAUAUCAAUUUUAUCUGAUGUUUCCAUAUCCAAAGCUUACUAUCCAACAAGCAAGAAACAUACUUUUUACGGUACAGAAAAUUGCCAAUCUGCUGAAUUGGAUCUAGUUACUAUGAAAACGUCUCCUUCCAAGUAUGCUCCUUUUGGAGAGACAACAAAUGAGGUUCAUUGUGGUAAUCAGAUUGAUGUACUUACUUGUGAAGAACCGGAAGUUUUGGAGUUCACUUCAAACCCCCCACCAAGGACUUGUUGUAAUUCAAACCAUAUAUUGGAAACCGGGUGCAACAGUCACGUAUUACCACAUAUACCUACAGUUUUUGGGAAAAAGUCAAUCUUUCUCCCUUCGGGAGCCUCCAGCCUCAUACAUCACCGGUGAUGCUACUCAUAAGGCGAAGACUACAGGAUGCAUCUAGAUAGACAGCAGCACUCAACAUCUACAACACCACCAAGACCGUAGCUGCAGGGACCUAGGGCCACAUCUGCCCAGGUCUACAAGUCAACAGCUGUACCACUGGACAUCAAGAAGUUACCAUCGAACCAACACCACAAGCCAUGCACAACUAUAAUAAAAGAAUUGUUAGUUUUUUUUUAAGAAUUUGAAUAUAUUUGUUAAUGCAUUUAAUAAGUCACAUUUUUAUUAUAUCUUUAUUUAACAAUAAACAUGAUUGG
This 2324-nucleotide unclassified non-coding RNA is filed under the name Diabrotica virgifera virgifera (western corn rootworm). Its description in RNAcentral is "craniofacial development protein 2-like". The record is from RNAcentral. Lineage: Eukaryota; Metazoa; Arthropoda; Insecta; Coleoptera; Chrysomelidae.